GACGAACGCUGGCGGCGUGCCUAAUACAUGCAAGUAGAACGCUGAAGAGAGGAGCUUGCUCUUCUUGGAUGAGUUGCGAACGGGUGAGUAACGCGUAGGUAACCUGCCUGGUAGCGGGGGAUAACUAUUGGAAACGAUAGCUAAUACCGCAUAAAAUUGAUUAUUGCAUGAUAAUUAAUUGAAAGAUGCAACUGCAUCACUACCAGAUGGACCUGCGUUGUAUUAGCUAGUUGGUGAGGUAACGGCUCACCAAGGCGACGAUACAUAGCCGACCUGAGAGGGUGAUCGGCCACACUGGGACUGAGACACGGCCCAGACUCCUACGGGAGGCAGCAGUAGGGAAUCUUCGGCAAUGGGGGGAAGCCUGACCGAGCAACGCCGCGUGAGUGAAGAAGGUUUUCGGAUCGUAAAGCUCUGUUGGAAGAGAAGAACGGGUGUGAGAGUGGAAAGUUCACCCUGUGACGGUAUCUUACCAGAAAGGGACGGCUAACUACGUG
This 497-nucleotide ribosomal RNA is filed under the name uncultured bacterium. RNAcentral's name for it is "partial 16S ribosomal RNA". It matches the Rfam family "Bacterial small subunit ribosomal RNA", at positions 28 to 507 of the family's 1533-position model. The record is from RNAcentral.